This 132-nucleotide non-coding RNA is filed under the name Kwoniella pini CBS 10737. RNAcentral describes it as "Eukaryotic large subunit ribosomal RNA". It matches the Rfam family "Eukaryotic large subunit ribosomal RNA", at positions 814 to 954 of the family's 3401-position model. Lineage: Eukaryota; Fungi; Basidiomycota; Tremellomycetes; Tremellales; Cryptococcaceae. The record is from Rfam by way of RNAcentral.
ACCAAAAAUGCUCGCUUCUGAAUAGGACCAAGCCAGGGGAAACUCUGGUGGAGGCUCGUAGCGAUUCUGACGUGCAAGGCAAUCGUCGAAUUUGGGUAUAGGGGUGAAAGACUAAUCGAAGCUAGUAGCUGG